GACGAACGCUGGCGGCGUGCUUAACACAUGCAAGUCGAACGGAAAGGCCCUGCUUGCAGGGUACUCGAGUGGCAAACGGGUGAGUAACACGUGGGUGAUCUGCCCUGCACUUCGGGAUAAGCUUGGGAAACUGGGUCUAAUACCGGAUAGGAGCCAUCUUUAGUGUGGUGGUUGGAAAGUUUUUUCGGUGUAGGAUGAGCUCGCGGCCUAUCAGCUUGUUGGUGGGGUAAUGGCCUACCAAGGCGGCGACGGGUAGCCGGCCUGAGAGGGUGUACGGCCACAUUGGGACUGAGAUACGGCCCAGACUCCUACGGGAGGCAGCAGUGGGGAAUAUUGCACAAUGGGCGCAAGCCUGAUGCAGCGACGCCGCGUGGGGGAUGAAGGCCUUCGGGUUGUAAACUCCUUUCGCUAGGGACGAAGCUUUGUUGUGACGGUACCUAGAUAAGAAGCACCGGCUAACUACGUG
RNAcentral lists this ribosomal RNA (466 nucleotides) under uncultured bacterium. Its description in RNAcentral is "partial 16S ribosomal RNA". It matches the Rfam family "Bacterial small subunit ribosomal RNA", at positions 28 to 507 of the family's 1533-position model. The record is from RNAcentral.